Drosophila gunungcola (fruit fly) is the source of this 994-nucleotide long non-coding RNA. RefSeq lists it as uncharacterized. The record is from RefSeq and is a predicted model, not a curated record. Lineage: Eukaryota; Metazoa; Arthropoda; Insecta; Diptera; Drosophilidae. The transcript has 2 exons.
UAAAUAUUAUAAGGCAAAUCCUCUGUAGUUUAUAAUCUAAAUGAAGUUUCGGUUUUUUUUCCUGCUGUGAAACCAGGAUAUUUCGAACUCAAAACCCGUGACCAAAUUUUAUAGUUUUUUCGUAGUGUUUUGUGCUUUAUUUCGAUAUCGCCCUGCAUAAUUAACAUGGCUAGAUCGACCCUGCUAUUGAUCCUGAUCCAGAAUAUUUGAAUGUGACAUACUUUUAAGCGAAAACAUUGAAUACUUUUCCUAUACGUGUAACGGGCUUAAAAAACAACGUUCUAAUAUUAAGAAACAAAACAUUAUUGACAAUUACAUGUCAAUAGCAGUGUGCACAGUGUCUGUACACAUAUUGACGGGAGACAAUUGUUUAAAUCUUAUAGGCGAAUUAAAAUAAAUAAAUAGAACACUGCGCACCUGGCAGGGGUAUAAAGCAGCUUAGCUCAGCGAUGUCUUAAUCAGUAAUUGAAAAUAUUCCAUAAAUACACUGUGCUCUUGGUUGUAUUGGGGCCACUUUAUUUCGUUGAAGCUUAUCAAGUGAUACCAUAUAUUGAAGAUGGAAUACAAGAUUACUUGAAUAUUAUGACAGAUCCAUUUGUCAAGAUCGGUCAAGGCCAUUACUAUAUUGACACCAGGGAAAAAAAGAACUGGUUUGAUGCAUCCGAGUCUUGUCAUCGCAUUAAUGCCCAUCUAAUAGCUUUUGAGACCAUUGAAGAAUGGGAUUUGGUUAAUCAGUAUCUAAUCAGUAUAUAUACACAGAUUAAUGAUAUAUACUGGACUUCGGGUGCGGACUUGGCGAAUCAGGGAAAAAAUGAUUGGUUUUACUACAAUGGAAAUGAGCAUUGUGACGAGUUGCGUGGCCGACGAGCCCCAACUAAUUACAACUCAUCUAAUGACAGCCAAUGUGAAUCAGACAGACACUACAUUUGUGAGAAAUCAUACCCAAUAAGAGCUUCGCUUGUUUCCUGGUAAUAGAAAAUAAUUUUAAAAUAAA